RNAcentral lists this transfer RNA (74 nucleotides) under Candidatus Falkowbacteria bacterium CG11_big_fil_rev_8_21_14_0_20_39_10. RNAcentral describes it as "tRNA-Ala". It matches the Rfam family "tRNA". From Rfam's summary of the family: Transfer RNA (tRNA) molecules are approximately 80 nucleotides in length. Their secondary structure includes four short double-helical elements and three loops (D, anti-codon, and T loops). Lineage: Bacteria; Candidatus Falkowiibacteriota. The record is from RNAcentral.
GGGCCCAUAGUUCAGCUGGUUAGAAUAUUUGCAUGGCAUGCAAAAGGUCGAGGGUUCGAAUCCCUCUGGGUCCA